CCGAAUCAGCGCCGAAUCAGGCAACACUGAUCAGCGCAGAUCUCGAGCGGCAGUUACCCACAAUUAUCAAACAGUUUUUGUGUACCACUAGAUCCCGAAAGUCUGUGAACGUUCGUGAUGUCGCACACAAACUGUUGUAUCGUUAACUGUACAAACACAUACAAGAACUGCCCGCCAGGUACGAGGUUUUUCAGUUUCUCGACGAGGACGUGUCUACAGCACCAGCGAGAACAGUGGAUUCGCUGUGUACGUCGCGUGAAUGCCCGUGGAACAGAAUGGCAACCAUCCAAAUGGUCAAAGAUAUGCAGCUCUCACUUUGUUGGCGGUCAACCAUCGACAGAUCGUUCGUCACCGGCCUACAUGCCGACCAUCUUUCCGUCGUCGUACCGCAAUGCCUCUACCACUACGAUAGCUGAGGACAAAAUGUCCCGCUAUAAACGUUGGAGAAAAAGGGCGUACGGCGAAGGCCAAGUCGUGCGCUGUAGUGACGUACAAG
This is a long non-coding RNA of Ornithodoros turicata, 496 nucleotides long. RefSeq lists it as uncharacterized. The record is from RefSeq and is a predicted model, not a curated record. NCBI's taxonomy places the organism in Eukaryota, Metazoa, Arthropoda, Arachnida, Ixodida, Argasidae. The transcript has 3 exons.